This 307-nucleotide ribosomal RNA is filed under the name Parabathynellidae sp. (Browns Range) EM-2019. RNAcentral describes it as "partial small subunit ribosomal RNA". Lineage: Eukaryota; Metazoa; Arthropoda; Malacostraca; Bathynellacea; Parabathynellidae. The record is from RNAcentral.
ACAUAAUUUAUUUCUUUGUUUAUAUUAWUAAUUUAAAAUAAUAUUACUAUUAAGUCUUAAUUAACUAAAAAUUUCAUUUUCUUUCUUUAAUAUAAAAAUUAUAAUUCAUAUUUUCUUAAACAUGAGCUGCACCUUGAUCUAAUUUUAAUCAAAAAAUUUAAUUAAAUUAAUUUAUUACUAACAUUUAUGAAAAUGACGGUAUACAAACUUUACUUUAAUUUAAGUAAAAUCAUUCGUGGAUUGUCGAGUCUAUAAAUACAAAAUCCCCUAAUAAGAUAUAAAUUACCGUCAGGUUUUUUAAGUUUUG